AGCAGCCGCGGUAAUUCCAGCUCCAAUAGCGUAUAUUAAAGUUGUUGCAGUUAAAAAGCUCGUAGUUGAAUUUCGAGACCAAAUUGUUGGUCGUGCCUUGGUACGUACUGGCAAUAUUGGUUUCUCCCUUCUGACGAACCAAGAUGUCAUUAAUUUGGUGUCUUGGGGAAUCAGGACUGUUACUUUGAAAAAAAUUAGAGUGUUUAAAGCAGGCUCGCGCUUGAAUACAUUAGCAUGGAAUAAUGAAAUAGGACGUUUGAUUCUAUUUUGUUGGUUUCUAGGAUCGACGUAAUGAUUAAUAGGGAUAGUUGGGGGCAUUAGUAUUCAAUUGUCAGAGGUGAAAUUCUUGGAUUUAUUGAAGACUAACUACUGCGAAAGCAUUUGCCAAGGAUGUUUUCAUUAAUCAAGAACGAAAGUUAGGGGAUCGAAGACGAUCAGAUACCGUCGUAG
This 450-nucleotide ribosomal RNA is filed under the name uncultured Glomeromycotina. RNAcentral's name for it is "SSU rRNA". It matches the Rfam family "Eukaryotic small subunit ribosomal RNA", at positions 569 to 1023 of the family's 1831-position model. Lineage: Eukaryota; Fungi; Glomeromycota. The record is from RNAcentral.